This 12020-nucleotide long non-coding RNA is filed under the name Sorghum bicolor (sorghum). Its description in RNAcentral is "long non-coding RNA (SBIC_LNC000601)". Lineage: Eukaryota; Viridiplantae; Streptophyta; Magnoliopsida; Poales; Poaceae. The record is from RNAcentral.
CCGAUGAGGGUGGUUGCCGAUGAAGGAGAAGUUGAACGUGACUAAGUCUACAGACGGUGAUGUGUCUGUGCCGAUUGCUAUGAUGAGAAAGUCUGCCGAUGACUAUGGCAAGGGAGUCUGCCGAUGAUACGAAGGAGGAGUUCGGCAGCCGCCGAUGGUUUGUGACAGAGUUUCAGUUUGUCACGGGGGAUAGUUUUGUUAUUUCCUUAAUUAUUUGAAUCGUUUUGUAUGCGGAUUCCGUGUAAUUUGGAAUUCGAAUUCUAAUCGUGUCUGGCUGUAGCUCUUUGAUCAGGGUAUAAAUAUAGACUCUAGGACCUUGUAAUGAGACAUCUAUCAAUCAAUCAAACACACGUUUUUUACUCAUAUUCCAGCAUCUACUUUUUCGAUGACUUCGUCAUACUUUUUCCCUUUUUAUUACGAGUUCUUAGGAAUUCGUCGACUUAAGCUCGGCGUGUUCUCGAGUUCCGCGUGAGUACCUCUUAGCCGUGACAUCCGGGCGCAUCGCUGUUGUCAGGACUAAAGUAUUCGAGUUAUCACCUUUGCCGAUAGUAAGGUUAAAUCGGCUGGCACGCCUUAACGUUUGAAUCGGGUAUUAGCCCUUUGUGUUUGCAGAUCAGUUUUGCACCAACACAUCUUUUGGCACGCCCAGUGGGACCGAUUCAAGAUCAAGUUCAACAUGUCGAUCUCUGACUUUGAUCAAGAGAACGUCAUCCCCGUAACGGAAGCCAAUCUCAAGGAUGAGCAGAAGCAAGCUAUUGCUCAAGCCAUCGAGGAAUACAAGCUGCAAUGCCUAAAGUCCUUCAGCAUGAACAGGAGCGGCGAAGUGAUCCAGAAAGAUGCACUGCCGGCACCACGGCAGGUUACUUUCGUAGCCAAUCCUGGCAAGCUUCAAGAUAUGGUUGAUAGUGCUAUCAACCGAGCCUUGAUCAACCAAGCUGGCGUACUGUCUAAUACGGUUUUCAAUGCCGUGGCAAGAACUUUCAAGGAAGGACAAAUCCCACCAGAUUAUGUGGGCCCUUCUCAUCAUCAGCCAACGUCACUAGAGGUCACGGCUCCAUCGGCUGCUACGGCCGCUGCGAGUGCACAGUCUGCCGUCCCUCCAAGUACGUUGGGAACUACUAAUGCACGAUCUGUGCCGAUGACAACUAACCCGCAAACUUCACGUGGGCAGAAUAAACUGACUACAGAUAUGUUGGCAUCGGCAAUGUCAGGGCUCACUCUUCCUCCCAACUGGUGGGGUUAUGGUAUGCCUCCAGAGUUGACACCGGGUACGUCACAGAUAACCGACAUGAGGGGCAAGGCUCCUAUGGCAUCGGCGCCUCCCAAUGCGCCGUGGAACCAGAGUCCUCGGUAUACUACAACUACUACUGCAAGGCCUCACACUGGGAAUCCUCAAGAUUCAAUGUUCCAGAUGCCUAAUGCAUCCGCAGAUUCAAUGCUGAUGCAACAGAGGUCUAUAGCCCAGUCGGGGUAUGUCAAUUCAAUAAUGGUACCCAAUUACCAAUCAUCGGCAGCGCCUAUGCCGAUGAACGCUAAUAAUGGAUGGCUUGGACAGCAAGUCUUUCCACAAACGCCCCAACAGAGUUACCAGGCUACAGGAUUCCAGCAAGGACAGAUCUAUCCCGGAUUCCAGAAUCAGGGGAUCCCCAACCAGCCAAUGAAUCUCGGACAGCAACUCGGGGGGCAGCAAAUCGGUGGACAGCAGUUUGGUGGUCCACAGAUUGGAGGCCAGAUGAUCAACCCAAUGUUCCAUGCGGAUCGUGCCCCAAACAGACACGUGGAAGCUCACCACCAGGUGCCGGACCCGCAGCCGCCUCAUCGGCAGGAUGCCGAUGCGUAUUGGGCCGAUAAGAUCGCUGAAGUAAUGAGGGAUCAAUUUGGGAUAAAACCCAAAGUCAACACUUACUCGUAUCGGACACCAUAUCCUCCUGCAUAUGAUUUGAUCCCGCUUCCGCAUCGGUACAAGGUACCAGACUUUACUAAGUUUUCUGGGCAAGACGACACGUCAACUAUGGAGCAUGUCAACAGAUUCAUCAUUCAAUGCGGAGAAGCCGGUAACAGGGAUGAAUUGAGGGUUCGUCUAUUUUCAUCAUCAUUGUCUGGAUCGGCCUUUACUUGGUUCAUAUCAUUACCUCCUAACUCAGUGAUUACUUGGGCCGAUAUGGAGAAGCAAUUCCACAAAUACUUCUUUUCUGGGGUUCAUGAGAAAAAGAUUACCGAUUUGGUCAAAUUGAGACAACGCAAUGAUGAAUCGGUUGAAGGUUUUGUGCAGAGGAUACGGGAAGUCAAAAAUAAAUGUUAUAGUUUGAUUCUAGAUGAUCGGCAGCUAGCCGAUUUGGCUUUCCAGGGUUUAUUGCCACACAUCAGGGAUAAGUAUGCCUCUCAGGAGUUUGAAAGCUUAAGUCAUUUGGUGCAGAGGAUUUCUGAUCAAGACAUCAAGCCUUUCGAGCCCAAAAGAGCAUGGAACAAGAAGGUAUCAUUUGUUGAUGAGGCAACAAGCUCAGAUUCUGAUGAGGAACCAGUCAUCGGCUUGGCAGAGUGGGUAAAGAACAAGAAGCCGAUGUCUUGCCCUUUUGGGCAGAAGGAACCAGAGAAGUUUGCUUUUGACACCGCUAAGGCCGAUAAGAUAUUUGAUUUUCUACUUCAGGAAGGUCAGAUCAAGCUGUCUCCUAAUCACGUGAUCCCAUUGGCAGAGGAGUUGAAGAGGAUGAAAUAUUGCAAGUGGCAUAAUGCAACUUCUCAUGACACCAAUGAGUGCAAAGUUUUCAGACAGCAGCUGCAAUCGGCCAUAGAGUCUGGGAGAAUCAAGUUUGACAGUUCCAAGAUCCAGAAGCCGAUGAAGAUAGACCAACAUCCUUUCUCGACAAACAUGUUGGAUGCCAAGGGGAAGGCUAAGGUCUUAACAUCGGAAGCAGCCGAGAAAAGUGCAUCGGUAGAUCCUCAGCAUCAAGUUACUACUGCCGAUGCAAGAGGUAAGGGCUUGGUCCAGGAAGGAACCAGUUCAGGGAGGCCUCCUCGGUCUGGCAUCGUUAUAACUCAUAGAAGGCCUCGAGAGAACUGGCAGCAACGGGAAGAUCGGUACCGGCGCCAGCAAGAAGAUUAUCGUCGGGAGGAAGAGAGACGCCGACAGGAGUGGAAUCGGCAUAGAGAUCAUUGGAACUGUCCGUUCUUUAUCCAUUGUUGGGAGGAGAAUAUUAAGCUUCCCACUGUCAGAGACUGCCCUGAGUGCAACGGUUAUGAUCGGUACGAUAGAACCGAUCGGCGUUAUCAUGAUGACAAUCGGCAAUUUAAUGGGCCGAUCAGAGGAAGAGCAUCAGUUCAUGAUCGGCUGGGGGGCAGGCUCAGCGUACACGAUAGGCUUGGUGAUCGUGUCCAAUAUUUUCCCAGGAACCAGGAAGAGCUCGAGGAGAUGGCUAAUGCACGAGUUCCCGAUGAGUUCAUAUUCUGCAGGGAUGCUAACACGCAUCGGAUGGAGUCAAGAGAGAAUCGACGCCCAGCAGCAAGGCAGAAGCCACUUCCUCCAUGGUGUCCUGAAGGGUUAACCAAGACACAGAAAAGGAGAUUGCAACGCGAAAGGCAAGAGGAGCUAAGCAAGGGCGAGAACUCUGGUCAGUCUGGAGGUCAGCAGCAACCAGACACUAAGAGGGAAGGUCCAUCGGCAGGAGUUAACAUGGUCUUUAUGUUGCCGAUGGAGUUUCUUGCACCAUCCAGUGAUGAUGAGUUGGAAUUUUCCGAUCAGAUAGCUCAGCUGGCUCUGGAUCCGAUGACAGCUAUCUUUGAGAAACCUGCCGACGACGAAAGACAACAUCUUAAGGCUCUGUUCGUCAAAGGAAGGAUUGAUGGGCAGCCAAUGACCAAGAUCCUAGUUGAUGGUGGAGCUGCUAUCAAUAUUAUGCCGUAUGCAGUAUAUCGGAAGCUUGGGAAAGGGGAUCAGGAUUUGACCAAGACCGAUAUGAUGCUUAAAGACUUUGAAGGGAACGUGUCUCCAGUCAAAGGGGCAAUAUGUGUAGAGUUGACCAUCGGCAGCAAAACCUUGCCGACAACUUUCUUCGUGAUCAGUGGAAAGGGGGCUUAUAACUUAUUGUUGGGAAGAGAUUGGAUUCAUGCCAAUUGUUGCAUCCCAUCUACAAUGCACCAAUGCUUGGUUCAGUGGGUAGGUGACAAAAUUGAGAUUGUCCCGGGGGAUUCUUCUUAUGUUAUUGCAUCGGCAGAGGCAGACACCUAUGAGAGGACCAGGUGCAUUUCAGGAGAAGUUUGGGAGAAAGAUUUUCUCAAGGUUGCCGAUUACGAGAUUCCACCGAUCCAAGCAGUCGGUUCUGAUGAAGAUUUUUAAUGGAUAGGUUCGCCGAUGAUGGAAAGUUAGGCCAGGGAUUCACAUCGGCCGAUGAGUUGGUAGAAGUAGAUAUAGGUAGUGGUGAUAAGCCUAGACCUACCUUUAUUAGUUCUAAGUUAAAUUCUGAGUGUAAGCAGCAAUUAACCGAUUUGUUAAAGGAAUAUAAAGAUAGCUUUGCUUGGGAUUAUACCGAGAUGCCUGGUUUAGACCGAUCAAUUGUUGAACAUCGGUUACCUAUUAAGUCUGGAUUUCGGCCACAUCAGCAGCCAGCUCGCCGAUGUAAUCCUAAUAUCCUUCCUGACAUCAAGGCCGAAAUAACCAAACUUAUUGAAGCUAAGUUUAUUCGGCAGUGUCGGUAUGCCGAGUGGAUUUCCAAUGUUGUUCCGGUCUACAAGAAGAAUGGGAAACUUUGGGUUUGCAUUGAUUUCAGGAAUCUUAAUAAAGCUACGCCGAUGGAUGGAUACCCAAUGCCAGUUGCCGAUCUGUUGGUUGACGCUGCGGCUGGGCAUCGAAUCAUUAGCUUUAUGGAUGGUAAUGCAGGAUACAAUCAAAUAUUCAUGGCUGAAGAAGAUAUUCCGAAGACUGCGUUCAGGUGCCCUGGUCAUGUUGGAUUGUUUGAGUGGAUAGUCAUGACCUUUGGCCUUAAGAAUGCUGGUGCUACUUAUCAAAGGGCCAUGAAUUUUAUAUUUCAUGAGUUCAUCGGCAAGCUGGUGGAAAUUUAUAUUGAUGAUGUGGUGGUUAAGUCUGGGGAUUUCACAAAGCAUCUUGCCGAUCUACGAAAGGUGUUAGAGUGCACAAGGAAGCAUGGAUUGAAAAUGAAUCCCAAUAAGUGCGCAUUUGGUGUAUCGGCAGGGCAGUUUCUUGGUUUCAUGGUACAUCAAAGGGGGAUUGAAAUUAGUCGAAGAUCUAUUGACGCCAUCAAUAAGAUAGUGGUCCCUACCAACAAAACUGAGCUCCAGUCCUUGAUCGGCAAGGUAAAUUUUAUCAGGAGAUUUAUAUCUAAUUUGUCUGGUAAAAUUCGUGCUUUCGGUCCUCUUCUUAAGCUAAAAGCCGAUCAAGAAUUUAUUUGGGGGAAAGAGCAACAGUCGGCUCUGGAUGAAAUUAAGAAGUAUCUAGUGAAUCCUCCAGUUCUAGUUCCACCUCAGCAAGGAAAGCCCUUCAGAUUGUAUUUGUCCACCGAUGGGAUGGUUAUCGGUUCAGCUUUAAUUCAAGAAUUUGAAGGGAAAGAGCGUGUAAUUUAUUACUUAAGCAGGAGGUUGAUUGAUGCUGAGACCAGGUAUUCGGCCAUUAAAAAACUAUGCCUAUGCUUAUAUUUUUUGUGUAUCAAGUUAAGGCAUUACUUGUUAUCGGCCGAAUGCACUGUUGUUUGCAAAGAUGAUGUGAUCCGGUACAUGCUAUCUAUGCCGAUUAUGAGUGGCAGGAUCGGUAAAUGGAUUUUGGCGCUGUCGAAAUUCGAUCUGCGUUAUGAAUCGGCUAAGGCAGUUAAAGGGCAGAUUAUGGCCGAUUUUGUGACUCAACAUUGCGGUGCUGUGGAGGCUUUGGAAAUUGUGCCCUGGACACUUUUCUUUGAUGGAUCUACAUGUGACCAGGGGACAGGAUCGGCGUAGUAUUAGUUUCCCCUAAAGGGAGGAAGUAUGAAUUUUCCUUGCCGAUUGUUGCUACAUCAACAAAUAAUCAGGCUGAGUAUCAGGCUUUGAUCAAGGGAUUGGAGUUGUUAAGAGAAGUUCGUGCUGACGCUGUCGAAAUCUUUGGAGAUUCUAUGUUGGUUAUAAAUCAAUUGGCCGGGAACUAUGAAUGCCGAAGUGAAGUUCUCAUAACUUAUUACGAGAGGAGUAUGCAACUGUUAAAGGAAUUCAAAGAUUUCCGUUAAGAACAUGUUCCCCGAUUGCAUAAUGAAGAGGCCAAUCGGUUAGCUCAGCAUGCCUCAGGAUAUCAGCCUAUAAUUAAUACAGUAUCGGCAAUCAAUGUCGAUGAUUGGACGAAAGAAAUUAUUGAUUAUUUGAAAGAUCCAUCUAAGAAAGUUGAAAGACGAGUUAGAUUUCAAGCAACCAAGUAUGUGCUCCUUGACAAUGAAUUAUACUAUCGAACUAUUGAUGGAAUUCUUCUCCGAUGCUUAGGAGAUGAUGAAGCUAGGAGUUUGGUGGGAGAAAUUCAUGAAGGGGUGUGUGGAGCGCAUCAGUCAGCUUUUAAGAUGAAGUGGAUGAUUAGGAGGAAUGGAUAUUAUUGGCCGACUAUACUUGAGGAUUGCUUUAAGUAUUUCAAAGGGUGUCAAGGGUGUCAGAAGUUUGGUAACAUUCAAAGGGCACCUGCAUCGGCUAUGAAUCCUAUCAUAAAGCCUUGGCCGUUCCGAGGAUGGGCUAUUGAUCUGAUCGGCCAGAUUUAUCCACCAUCUAGCAAAGGGCAUAAGUUUAUUCUAGUUGCCACCGAUUAUUUCACUAAGUGGGUUGAGGCUAUUCCUUUAAAGAAAGUCACAUCGGCCAAUAUGAUUGAUUUUGUGAAGGAGCAUAUCAUUUACCGAUUUGGAAUUCCUCAAACAAUUACUACCGAUCAGGGCACUAUGUUUACAUCAGGGGAGUUUGAUGAAUUUGCAAUCGGUAUGGGGAUCAAAGUGUUGAAUUCUUCUCCUUAUUAUGCUCAAGCCAAUGGGCAGGCCGAAGCGUCUAACAAAGGAAUUAUCAAACUUAUCAAACGAAAGAUUGAAGAAAAUCCUAGGCGGUGGCAUACAUUAUUGAAUGAAGCAUUGUGGUCCUAUCGGAUGGCUUGUCAUGGAUCAACCAAGGUGUCGCCCUAUCAAUUGGUAUAUGGACAUGAUGCAGUGUUACCUUGGGAAAUUAAGGCUAGAUCUAGGCGAUUAUCUUUUCAAGAUCAAUUAGCUACCGAUGAUUAUGCCACUUUGAUGACCGAUGAGUUAGAUGAUCUAGCGGGACAUCAGUUAAAGGCCUUAAUGAGUAUAGAAGAAAAUAAGAAGAGAGUUGCUAGAUGGUAUGACAAGAAAGUAAAGGCUAAGGAGUUUGCCGAUGGGGACUUGGUAUGGAAAUUAAUUUUACCAAUCGGGACUAAAAGUUCGAAGUUUGGAAAGUGGUCUCCUAAUUGGGAAGGUCCUUAUCGGAUAAGUCGAUCGGCUCCUGGAAAUGCCUAUAUUCUAGAAACUCUCGAAGGAGUUGAAUUUCCCAGAGCAUUAAAUGGCAAAUAUUUAAAGAAGUACUACCCCAGCAUAUGGGUCGAUGCAUAAAAGUUUAAGUGCCGAUAACACUCCUAUCGGCUAGAUUUAAAUGUUUGGGGGCAGGACUUAAUGUUUCAAAAGAUGCCGAUAACAGUCCUAUCGGCUAGACUAAAAGCUAAAAAAGCAGGAAAACACAGAUGUGUUGCCGAUGAAAGCUUCAUGUGUUCAGCAGCGCCUGGAUCGCCGAUACGGCGCGUAGCCAGAUUUGGUUGGCUGCUUCUAUCUCCUUGAUAUCAUCAUCGGCAGAACCUUCUAUCGGCUUCAACUUCUUCUUCAACUGCCGCGCCUUGCGACCGUGGACGUUCCGCUCAUGCUCAAGGAGCUUGAUGGUCUCUGGCAGUUGACUCUCUUCCUGUUGGGCUUGGGACAAGGCGUCCUCCACUUGUUUGAGUUCUGCCAACAGGGAUUCCCUUUUUGCCGAUAAGUCAGAUAUCUUCUGCUUCAGCGUGUUUCCUGAAGAUCUCAAGAUGCCGAUGUUCUUAUGCUUCUCAUCGGUCAGGAGUUUCUCUUUCCUCAUCUCUUCAGAGAGUUGAGUCUGAGCAGCUCUAUCGGCAAGACGCCGAGAAGCCCUCUGGUACUGCAGCUGACGACUCUCCAAAUGUGCGGCUUGGAAGAGGAUUUCUUCAACAUCGGUUGGGAUCUGGCCUCUGAGAGUCCUGAACAGAACCUUGGCUGGGUUUGAGUCAUCAACCAGUUGUGCCGUGUCCUGAUGAAGGAGGGCCGACAGUUCUUCCAGCUUGGCCCUGAUCUCUGCCAAUGUGAUGCCAGAUGUCGAUGGCGAAGGAGAAAAGGCUAUCGGGAGAAUCUUGUUCCUGGGAAAGGAAAACAGAGUAAGUUAGUUCAUGCUCGGAGAAUCGGCAAAUAAUACUGAUGAAGUCUGAGCGACUUACUUGCUUCAAGGCUAUUUCUUGCCGUUGACUCGAAGAUGCCGGUGGGGCCACAGGUUGAUCGGCCAGGGUUACCGAUGGGACAACAUCGACUGAGAGGAAAACAGAAAGAGUUAUGAGGCUAAAUGAGAAUAAGUUCAUCGGUGGCAAUAUAAUAAAAUAUGUUACACUGAGGAAGAACAAUGCUUGUCUGAAUUGGGGGAACUGCCGAUGAUGCAAUUGGACCUGCCGGGCCAGUUGUUUGUCCACCCACGUCAGCUAAUGUACCUUCUACUUGGGGUUCUUCCUGCUGGGGUUUGUCUGCUUCUAGUGCUUCCUGCGGAUGAGGGGGAGAUGGUGCUUGCUGGAUCUCCACGUCUGGAGGGGAGGGAGAAGAUUCCACCGGAAUAGGAGACACCGGGGGAGGAGGAGGAGGAGGAGUAGCCACUUUCUGGCGCUUUGUUCCAGCCCUGGUACUCUUGGCGCCCUUCCUCUUUGACUGGCUGGACUGGGGGGCAUCGGCACCUUGACGUUUGGCUUUUGCCGAUGCACCGGUUUGCUGCAGCAAUAAAAAGGAGUUUAUAAAUACAAAUAUAGCCGAUGUAAAGGUAAUCGGUAUAAAUGAAAAAGGUUGGCAAAUUGCCUUGAAAGCUUGUGCCAAAGUGGAAGCAGCUACUGAUGGUGGUGUCUGAGUUCUCUUGGUGGUGACUUUCUUAAGACGCACACCUCGAUGCACAAUGGUAGCCAGAGUGGGAGCAUUGUGGCCGAUUGAAGAAAUUGGGCCUGGUGGAAACAGGUCGAUCGGCUUACCACUUCUGCUAACCGAUGGAGGGAUGUUGUCAACCUGCAAAAGGGAUACAAAGGUGAGUUACCGAUGAAAAUAAGAUUGAAAAAUCGGGACACCAGUUUGAAAUACUUACAGCAUCAUCGGGUACUUUGUACUCGGGGUCGAUCAUACCGCGAUAUGAAAGGGCUGACUUGCAGAAUAGAUGCUCUUUCCAUUCUGCCCACCAUAGCUUGUAUGCCUGAGUAAUGAAAGCGGCUGGAACCCACUCUGACAAAUCUGCAUCUGUAUCGGCAUUUGGUGGUAGUUGGGCUACUCGAAUCCACUCAAGAAAGUUGCUGAUGGGCUCUCUGGGUUUUAUCACGUCGGCAUAACAGAGCGCAAUCGGCAACUGGCCGAAAGCUAAUUGACGAGCUAAUGCCGAUGGGUUGUAAAAUUCAUAAGUCUGGGGAGAGGUUUUUGUGCUACCAAAGAAAUUCACUGGUAUGGCUCUAGGAGUCACAAUUGCCAUCAUCACCUCAUUAUCCCUGUCAAGAGCGUCAUCAAAUGGAUUGAAGACCAGGGGCAGCAUACUGUCUGGGUCGUCAUAGGCCAACCACGGUCGUUCAUCUCUGGCCAAGCCCUCAUACAGAGUCUGGAAGAAUCGGCCGAUCUGAUCUGGAUUACCCCCUGAACCAGGUAGAACUAUGACAGCUUCGCCAAAGUUCAAGGGAGCGCGUGUUGCCGAUUCCUCUUCACCCAGCACAUGAUUUUCAGUUAUAUCUCUUGGAAAACGCUGCGUGAACAGGUUGAAGUUGAGGCGCUUGUGCAGAUGCAGAUUAAGCCACAUGUUAAUGAACCACCAAGGGCCACCUAAGUUGUCGGUAGACUGGCCGAGCAGGAGUUUCUUGGCCACCUGAUGGAGAAGAUGGUAAAUGGCGCCAAGCAAGUAUCGGCCGAGAGGGAAUCGGCCACCGUUAGCCAGUCUCUCUGCUGCCGAUAGAUAGACGGAAGUCGGUCCUGCCGAUCGACCACAGAACACAAACUUGUCUAGCCACAUGUUCAGAAAGGUGGUUUGUUCUUUUAUGCUGACAGGUCCCUUCCCAUGAUAGUUCUGAAUGUAUCCUGACCAGCCGCCGAUAGCGCGAGUCUCUACUUUGGCACUAGGAGCUGUGUCAAAAAAGUGGGUGCUAUCGGCAGAAGAUAUAUCUAGACCGGUGAGCAUGGCUACAUCGGCAAGAGUAGGAGAAGCAGGGCCAUGGCCAAAGACAAAAGCAUUGAGGGUGUCUGACCAAAAGUAAGAUGCAGCUAUCAACAGUGACUCAUUCCUGUGCAUAUCGGCAAUGGACAGCUUAAUGCAUUGAUCUAGUUUUCUCUCACCCCAUUGGACUUCAUUGGAGUUGCUGACUCUCAAGAACCAGUCUUUCCACCCUACGGUAGGGCUGGGCCAAGAGCGGAAGGUGUCUUUCCACAGAUCUAAAGAAAAAUUUUCGGCUCUGAAAGGGAUCCUAUUGGUUUCUGCGUUAAUGAGAUCGGUUGGAUCUGGAUCCCCUAGAGGGCCGAGGCAUUGGAGGUGUGGUUGAUCGGUGGGAAUGACGAUUUUGUUAGACAAUUCCUGGUGGUUUUGGAAUAAAGAAAAAGAACACAAAGAAAAGAAAAGAAAAUGUUCAGUAAAAUGGAUUGCGGAUGAACAGGGAUGCGAAGAAAAGAACAGGGGAUGGAAUGAAGGACUGACCUCAGGGACGAUGAAGCUAAUAGCCAUCUUGCGACGAGGAGGAUGCCUGGGGCUUCGGGUUGGCGAGGAGGAGUUUUUGCCGGAGGUCUUGGAGACGUUGAAUGGCGCCGCCGCUAGGAAAGUAAAGUUGGGAUGAUGGAAUGAUGUGAUGGAGAAGGAGUACCCGAGAAGGAACUAUUUAUAAGACAAAAUGGGCAAGGGCAAAUCUGACUUAUCUCCUUGCCGCAUCCGAGAAAUCCGAGGGUGUUCACGUAGAUAUGGUAACUGUUCGCACGAUAAUCGAGGGAUUGUGCAGGUGAUUUGACGGGAAGCGGUCAUUAUCUGGAGAUAUUUUACUGUGCGGGAUCUCCUGGUCGGUCCAUCGGCAGCGUCCUGUAACGGUCAUAUUGUCGAUGGGCAAGUGAGGUGAAGAUAGCCGUUUGUACGAACGUCCUGAUCAGUUCAUCGGCAGAUCUUUGUAACGGUAAUAUUGCCGAUGUACGGUUGAGAAGGAAAUGCCCGUUUAGGAAAUUGAGGAUUUCGAGGAAUAUGCGGAAGAAUAGGAUCAGAGUUGUUCAGAUUGAGGUUGUCGGUUACCAGAUUAGGAGCAUUAAUUACGGGAAAAGGCAUCAUUACUGCAGAGAAUUUCGGAGCAUUGAUGAUUUCAUACUCCGAAAUUGGGGGGCAUGUGUUGACACCGUUUUUGGGCACGUGUCCAGGUUGGCAGGAUAACACGGCAGUGUUUGUUUACAGGAUGAGUUGCCGAUGAGGGUGGUUGCCGAUGAAGGAGAAGUUGAACGUGACUAAGUCUACAGGCGGUGAUGUGUCUGUGCCGAUUGCUAUGAUGAGAAAGUCUGCCGAUGACUAUGGCAAGGGAGUCUGCCGAUGAUACGAACGAGGAGUUCGGCAGCCGCCGAUGGUUUGUGACAGAGUUUCAGUUUGUCACGAGGGAUAGUUUUGUUAUUUCCUUAAUUAUUUGAAUCGUUUUGUAUGUGGAUUCCGUGUAAUUUAGAAUUCGAAUUCUAAUCGUGUCUGGCUGUAGCUCUUUGAGCAGGGUAUAAAUAUAGACUCUAGGACCUUGUAAUGAGACAUCUAUCAAUCAAUCAAACACACGUUUUUUU